Long non-coding RNA from Cydia pomonella (codling moth), 2860 nucleotides. RefSeq lists it as uncharacterized. The transcript has 2 exons. Lineage: Eukaryota; Metazoa; Arthropoda; Insecta; Lepidoptera; Tortricidae. The record is from RefSeq and is a predicted model, not a curated record.
GCGAAACAUUGUGUAUGUGAUAGGCCACGUCUUUGUUCAUUAUUUGUCUAUUGAAAAACUUAUUUAAUUAGUAACCUAUGUAUUACCUAAACGUUGUGUGACUUGAAAACAUGGUAAGCUUUGUGAACAACUACCACUACAAUGAUAUUGGUCAUGGUUUUGAAUUGUAAUAUCCUGGCAAUUAUGGCUUACUUCAUUAUCAAUGUAAUUAGUGCCGGCGGCCAGUUCCCAUGAGGAUAAGCAAUUAACACGCCAAUCAAUAAGAUUGAUAAUUAUUGGACAAGCUUACAUAAUUAUUACUUAUUAGAAAUUUCGUCCUUAUUAGAAAAAUCUGAUUGGAGUUCCGGAGCCUGUAAUUUAAGCGCUAAAGACCCUUAAAGACUUCUUAAAAAUUCGCAAAAGCACCUUUAUACAUAUUUUACACUACCGGAUUUGAGGCAAACGAACCCAAAAGUCGAUUUACUGGAUUCAUUACAUUAUGUUCCUGUUUUUUUUAGAAACUUAUGAUAAAUGAUAGUCAAAUGGUUAAUAACUAAAUAAAUAUUAUAGGCACAUUUUAACACAAAUUGACUAAGCCCCAUGCGUGCGCGCGUUAAUGCGUGGUACCUAACUACCUAGCACCUGAUUUUUAUACGUAGUAUUUAUUACUGAAUUUUAGACGUGCAAUAAAAUAUAUAGGAUUAUUAAUGUGACCGGUGUAGAUUGAUAUAAUAUAAAGCACGUUAUCAGGUCAGCAAAUAUAUACAUAAUUUGACUCUAAAUUCAUUCGUUUCGUGCGUUCGUUUUUCAGUGCAAAAUUAAAACUCUUGGAGGCCUACCUAGCAAGCUUGAAUGAAAGCUUGCUUUCAGAUUCGUAACAAAAUAAUACAAAAUAAGCCUCCUGGGACUAGAGGGGUUCAGGAAGACGAUACUUUAUAUUAAGGGUAGAAUAGAUGGUAUACGACAUCCAGAAGAUGCUUUCUUUGUAAUAUCGGACUUAUCAAGUGAAACCUUCAAAGAGCCACCCCUUAAGAGAGUUUGAAUAAUCCCUUGAUUAGAGGAAAACAAUAUAUCCCAUACUUUAGCAAAUUGUGUUGCCAGAGCUCAACGAGCGUGCGGAGUGUUAGGGUCGGCAACGCGCAUGUAACUUCUCUGGAUUUGCGUACGGAUAGGCGUACAUAGGCUACGGUGAUUGCUUACCAUUAGGCGGGCCGUAUGCUUAUUUGUCACCGACGUAGUAUAUUAAAAAAAUACAUUGCACGAUUUAGAGAAAAAUAAAAUUAGUGCUUAAGACAUUUUUAUGUCUUCGAUUCGGUCGCUCCCUGAGAUUUUGCUCUUUCCCUAGACAUGUAGUCCUAAACACUUACAUUGCUCAUUGGUUAAACCAGCACUGAUUUAGCGCGUUGCUUAAAAUAUGUACAUACCUAAGAAAUUAGCACCCGUUGAACCUUUUCCCAUGACAAGAUCGCGUUUUUUACAGAUACAGUUUUCUACAGGAUCCUGUUUAGUAGUGCAUGUAUUUAUAUACUAGCGUUCAUAAGAGCAUCCCGUUUGCAGUGUCCGGCAAAAAACUGGUCUAGAUACCAUUGUGUAUUUCCACUAGAUUCCUGCCACUAUGCUCUUCUAUUUCUGUACUGCAAACACAGGGUGAAAAAUACUGUGUGUGAACACAUCAGAGUCAGUUAAAAAACCGUUCCCGCAGAACUGAACCUGCGUGGGAAAGAGCUUUUGCAAAAUUAGCCCGACUGGGAACAGUACUCUUGACUUGCACAGUAAACUGAGCAAUCAUUUAUUCAAGUCACAACUGAUAUAAGUGACAUAAUAAUCCACUUGCAUGUAAAUCUACAAAUGAGACGGAUUACUUCUUCGAACGCCCGUGGGACCGCCGCCACAAUGUACUUAAACCGCGCGUUGUUGCGCGCAUAAUCAUCUUCCUUGGAAUGAUCUCAAUCAUUAUCUCAUUUUCAGCACGCUUACCUGUCAUUAAAUUGUCUGUUUCCUUGUGGUAUAUAAGGAUGGUUGGCCAGAGUAGUAAGCCAUCGAUCAGUCUGCAGCUGAGUUUAUCACUUGUGAUUGUUAAGCAGUAAGCUACUCGGAUAAAUAUGGCAAAACUCGUUAUCCUGUUCUCCGUGCUGAUGCUGGCGGCCCUGGCCGCCGCCGGUGACGACGCGACCACGCCCGCCGACCCCACCACCACCGUCGCCCCCAGCAACGACACCGCGCCCGCCGCCGCCGACGCUGCCCUCGCCGCCGACGCCAACCAACCGCUUAACCAGACGCCUGAAACUGCAAACAGUGAAAAGCAAGGCAGCAGAUAGACUGGACUCUUACUUUUGACGUUAUACUUAACGGUUUUUUGGAUUGCCACUUCUGCAUUUGGUUCAAUUUAGAUUACUAACAUAUUAAAAAGUCCCUAAAGCCAAGACUUUUUUACGGAAAAAGUCAAUAUUUUUAUUUCGUGGCCCAUAAUUCUAAUUACUUCUUAGAUCUUACGAUUAAGAUUUUCUUUAAUAAUGUUAGUACGAAAUUUUAAAAUUAAUUUCUCCAUUAUUUCUCAAUUCAUUAAUUUUCUUUGUGAUAUUGAGGUAUUUAAUCCCUUUUAAGGAGCUGUGGCAUUUAAAGGAUCUGUUUCAUACCUCUCAAGACUGUCAUCGCUCAUAUUCAAACUAUCGUUAGAAGAUUGUCUUAUGAGUUAACUAAAAUUAACAUAAAGGCUUGUUUGUUUUAUGAAAGUAAGUAACGCACAUUUUCUGAACGAAAUUGUAUUAGAACACUCAUUAUUCAUUCAUCUGAAGAAACCAUCAUUAAAACUCAUUAUUUAAAGAAAUCAUCAACCAGAUAAAAAAAAAUAGCUUUAUAAAUAAAUUAUUGAUAACUCUUA